Molecule: non-coding RNA, 46 nt
Organism: Ailuropoda melanoleuca (giant panda)
Lineage: Eukaryota; Metazoa; Chordata; Mammalia; Carnivora; Ursidae
Source: Rfam
ACAAAGGUUUUUAUUAAAACUACUAAACAUUCAUUAAAAUGCUUAA